UGCCAGACUCCUACGGGAGGCAGCAGUGGGGAAUAUUGCACAAUGGGGGAGACCCUGAUGCAGCGACGCCGCGUGAGCGAUGAAGUAUUUCGGUAUGUAAAGCUCUAUCAGCAGGGAAGAAGAUGACGGUACCUGACUAAGAAGCCCUGGCUAACUACGUGCCAGCAGCCGCGGUAAUACGUAGGGGGCAAGCGUUAUCCGGAUUUACUGGGUGUAAAGGGAGCGUAGACGGCGAUGCAAGCCAGAUGUGAAAGCCCGGGGCUCAACCCCGGGACUGCAUUUGGAACUGUGUGGCUGGAGUGUCGGAGAGGCAGGCGGAAUUCCUGGUGUAGCGGUGAAAUGCGUAGAUAUUAGGAGGAACACCAGUGGCGAAGGCGGCCUGCUGGACGAUGACUGACGUUGAGGCUCGAAAGCGUGGGGAGCAAACAGGAUUAGAUACCCGGGUAUUA
RNAcentral lists this ribosomal RNA (449 nucleotides) under uncultured bacterium. Its description in RNAcentral is "bacterial SSU rRNA". It matches the Rfam family "Bacterial small subunit ribosomal RNA", at positions 329 to 795 of the family's 1533-position model. The record is from RNAcentral.